CAGUGCCGGGGCAGUGCCAGGAGCAAUAGUGGGGAAAGAGAAGCUCGACGUGCUCUCCUCUCCCUCACUCACUGAAGCAGUGCGGCUGCGAGCCACCCUGCUUUUCUUCCUGGCUGCAUUUAUUAGAGUCUUGUCUCUUCUCCUCUCCCCCUAGGUUUAGGUGUGAAUUAGGUACAGGGAAAACACAGAAGAACAUUUCUGCCUGCUGUCAGAUGCAGGUUCAGUCAGAGCCGGGAAGAUGCUGAGGUCAGAGCUUUUAAGCAGCUCCAGAGGUGUAUGGAUAGGACCCUUUGCACCCACCCUUGUUGCUAGUGUGAAGGUUGGCAACAAAUCACUGCCCCUGCCACAGCUGCUGUUCUGCCUCUGCCAGGCUCCUGAUAUUAGCUACCUGAGCUUUUCCACAGAUUAGAGGCAGGAGUAUGAGAGACACAGAAGUUGGCUUCUACAUUUUUUUACAUAAUAUAGCCCUCAAAAUACAGCUUCUUCUGAGUGAUGUGCCUGCCUGCUGGGAAUACAGAGGUGGUCCCAACAAAACUAAGAGUGCAGGUGAGAAGCUACUACCUUUUCCAAACCAGCCAUCAAAAUGGUGCAUUGUCCCAAAAUGUUUCCAUGGCAACACUCUGACAUAACUUUGGGGAGCAUGGUUUCUUCUCUCUCCUUUCAUGGAUCUUAAAUCCACAGUGUAAGACAAAUUACCUGGACCUGGUGUCACUCCUCUUGCCUCUCUGGCAAGGCAAUACCUCUCCAAAACAGCUGGAAGCCCACAGAUCCUUUGAAGAUACUUAUUUAAGGUCCUUGUUCUUUGAAAAUAUCAGGUCUACAGUAUUAAAUACCUCUGACACAUCAAAGAGGCAUGUCAUGCUAGUUGUUUUAUACAAACCACUGGAUGCAUGAUCAGAAGAACUCAGCUUGUAGUGUUUCUUGCAGUAUAAGGAACAAGCCUUUCAUAAUCCAGAUCUAUUGUGAAGCACCAUAUCUGCUGUAUAAGAAGGAGCAGUUCAUAACCAGUUGGAAAAUGGGUAAGAAAGUAUGUCAGACAUAAAAGUUCUGUUUACAUUUGUUGUGCAUAUAUUGCACAUAUAAGUCUCUAGACUGAGAUUGAAAAUCUUGUACCUUAGAUAAUACAUACUUCUAGUUAAAGGACAUGAGCUCUUCUGGGAUUGGUUUAAUAAGGGAUAUCAGCUUUUUGAAAGUGCAUGAUUCAUUUAAUGUACCUUUCUCAGCUGUGAAUCUUAGAAAAGUUGGCAUUUUUACAAAACUGCUUUCCCCCAGUUGAAUCUGAAUGCAAACACAUUGCCAAGGCUGGGUUUCUGUAACUUGACAUCUGUUCACAUUGAUUUUCAGGUAGACUUGCUCUGAAGGGAUAGUGUGUAAUGUCCACACUCUUAGAAAAGAGGAAAUGUAUUCCCCUGAGAUCAAAUUGAGAUAUAAUUGUCACAUGAGCUGAAGAAUCAGUCUGCAGUUUCUGAGGAAUUCUGGUCUUUUAAGCCAUUGAACCUGUCCUGUUCCACUCAAGUCAUCCAGCCCAAAUCAGGACAUAUUACAGGGGAGUCCUUUUUAAGAUGGAGUCUUCUUUGGGCUGGUUCAUUGCAGGAUGUUUGUCUUCUGCCUUGUAUAUCUAGUGUUUAGUUACUCUAACUGCAUAAUUCACAUCCAAAUACCCUGGUACAACUGCCACUGAAUGAUCUGCUAUGGGACUACAAGGGAUGCAUUUGCACCAUGCAAUGUAAAUUGAAUAAACAGGUUUGUAUUCAGAAUGCAAUGGAUACUACUGCCUGAUACGUCUCAGAGCUUUCUGGAAAUGGAAAUGUUUAGAAAAGUACUCCAAACUAUCUAUGGGCAGGAAAAAGUGAAAGACAUCCGCAUGGCUUGCAGGUGUGGAAUAAGACAACAGCUGAGUAGAUAUUUUACGUUUGAUGAUGAAACAGUCCCCUAGAUGUUUCUAUGAAAAAUGAGGAUGGGUAAGCCAGUUUUAAUGUGCAUGGAAGGAGCUGCAAACCAGGCCUGCACAGAAGAGCUACAAGUUUGCUGCAUUUCCAGCACUGCGAGGUUGUGCAAGAGAGGACAUCCAUCUUGUCUCUGCAGGAUCCACACCCUAUCUUUUUGCUGAGUGUCAUGGGACUCUGCAUGAGGCAGCUUGGGGUCACUAAUAAGGUUGCAAAGGAGAAAGUUACAAUAAC
Long non-coding RNA from Passer domesticus (house sparrow), 2180 nucleotides. RefSeq lists it as uncharacterized. The record is from RefSeq and is a predicted model, not a curated record. The transcript is spliced from 3 exons. NCBI's taxonomy places the organism in Eukaryota, Metazoa, Chordata, Aves, Passeriformes, Passeridae.